Molecule: long non-coding RNA, 2904 nt
Filed under: Heterocephalus glaber (naked mole-rat)
Lineage: Eukaryota; Metazoa; Chordata; Mammalia; Rodentia; Bathyergidae
Description: lncRNA (ENSHGLG00100050468.1)
Rfam family: Small nucleolar RNA SNORA71 (bases 1605-1737)
Source: RNAcentral
AAGUAGUUGCUCGGUAGAUUUUCUGGAUGGAUGGAAAUCUAGAUGAAUAGAUUGAUGAAAAGAAGGGAUGGGUUGGUGGGUGGAUGUUUGGAUGAUGGAAGAACAGAUGAUCCAGUAGGAAGUAAGAAUAACUGCAGGAAUGAGAAAGUUGUGCUCCAUAAAUAUUUUCUGGAUAAUUGGAUGCACGGAUACGUUGGUGGCUGGGUGCAAUGAUGGGCGAAAAAGAAUACUUGAUUGGAGGUAAGCCUGGAUGAAGAGCCUCAAGUGGAGGGUUAGAAUUUCAGCUCCUCUUCCCCAGGGGGCGCUGCGGGGCCACUCGCACGGGCCUGGCCUGGCAGAGAGGCGCCGCUCUAGGCUGUAGCCGACGCGAGGCCGCAGUUCCGCAGAGACUGCGGAGCGAGAACUCAGUCCUCCUGCUCCGUCCCGGUCUACAGCCUGUACUCAUGCUGUGCUCUGUGUACCCUGCUGCCUUCCGUCCCGGCAUCCGGCUAAGUCACUCAGGGCGUGCUCUGCGCAAGGCUCCCAAACCUUGCUGUUGAGCCCAAUGGAAACUACCCUGUGGCGGCGCUGCCGGUUCUGCAACAGCCAGCGCCCCCGCUCUCCCCGCCCCACGGACCGGAUGUCCCGAGGUGACAACUUGGUGUAAAUGGGUCAUGAGAGGUGUCCAUCUUGCCAGGAAGCAGCUGGACCAUGGUGCUCCCGAGUGAGGUGUCCCGGGAGUUGUCCUGUCAGGAACACCUUAGACCCCAGUGUCAUUGAGGGCCUAUGGCGAGGCAGAAAUGUCAUUGGCAGAAGGCCUGGUGGAGGAAAGCUGCUUACUUCAUCACAGCCAAGAAGCAGAGAAAGAAAGAAAAAGCCAUGGGGAGGACUUUGAGGUUGAGGUGAGCAAGAGCUCCCAAGUCCUGCUGGGUAGACUGAUGGGCAGGCCAGUAAUGACAGCAAGAAGGAUGGCAGCUAGGGUGGUCCUUUGGGACCUCGAUGGGAGGAGCUCUAAGGGUGAGCUCUUAUGGGAGGAAGGAGUAGGGCACAAAGUAUACCCCUCCGAGCCACACCCACAGUGACCUGUUUCAUCCAGUUAGGCCCCACCUCCUAACAAACCCAUUCAACUCAUUAAUUCAUUAGUGGAUUGAUCCACUUGAUGAUGAUCCAGACCCUUUUAAAAGCCCAUCAGCUGGCAGCCAAGGCUUCAACACAGUGAACCAUCACAUUAGCCUUUAGUGGCUCCUGUAAAAGUAAAACCUCCAGAGUAUCACUUGGGCAAUAAGAGUCUCCCAGUUGUCUGCCCUCCCUGCCUGGCUGUCUGCAGCAGCAUGCUGUAAUGCAGAAUGGGUGGAUCUGGGCAUGAGAAUCUCCUUCUGCCAGUAUCUCAAUCAAAGAUCAGCUCAACCCAAUUUUCUUGAUUUGAAAAAUAAAGUGAUAAAUAUUUUUCCAGGAUUUCUACCCAAGUUGACUUUUUUUUGAUUCCCUGUGGCAGAGAGGUUCUUUGGGGAUUUUGCCACUAUCAGAGUCCUGUGCUUCACUGGGCUGUUUUCCUGUACUCGACCCAUUCCACAGGCCACUGGCACCCCCGUCUCUUCCAGGGCCGGCCACUCUCUGGUGUGUGCACCUGCAUUCGAAAGUGAUCAUGGGCUGCCUGUGCCCUGGUCAUCAACAAAGCAGGGAGAGGAACCGCUGAAAGCCGUUUCCCGUGUUUGCAGGGUCCAGCCUGUCCCUUGCAAAUGCUGGCGCUUUCGCACACUUCUUUCCUGCCAACACAUUCCAGUUUCAAGAGCCUUAAGGGCUGCUGUGUAAGGGUCAGUGAUGGGAGACAUUUUGUCUUGCUUGGCCUCUCUAUCUAGUGAAUAAGUGAGAUGUUGGGUGAUACACAGUCAUUACCACAGGAUUUUCAAAGAGAAGUGGCCUUUUGGAAGUGGUGGGUCUGGGCAGGCCUUGGAAGGGGUGUGAUAUGAGAGAUAUUCUGAGGGGCGGGAAUCAUGUGGAGGACUUUGAGGUUGAGGGAUGCUGCGCUGGAACUGGAGAUUGCUGAAGGAAGGCCCUGGAAUAGAGGCACUGACCCUGUCAGGAUGAUGAAUGGGGUUCCUGCUCUGAAGGGAUCUCCUCAUGUUGGUUGUGGUGUUGAUUGUGGACACUGGCAUAGCAGAGUGAAGAGUGUCAUUGUCACACGACGCAUUCCAGACCUUAGUGCAGUGGCCUCAGCACAACACAGAGCACCUUUUUACUCUGCAUGAGCAAGCGGAGGGGAAGGCCUGGACUCUGAGGACUUGGGGUCCAGAGGUGGAGACCUUCCAGCUGGUUCUACCCCAUCCCAGCAGAGCCACAGAGCAUCAUAGACGGGAAGACCAGUCUUCCUUCAACUGGCCACCUCCAGUCUUGCCUACUCCUGGUGUAACUUGUAGACCCAAGAGAUCCUGGUGAAGUUUUCUAUACCCUGCACAACCUCAAUAAAUUGUCCACCUCAAUAAAUUUUGAAACAUGCUGUGCUGUGUAUUUUUUGGGUUUUGUUUGUUUACCAAAAUACCCAUGUGUACCAGCUAGGCUGGGUAUAGAGAAGGUAGUCACAGGGUGAAUCUUCCAGUUUUCACUUACUGAGAAUUCCCACUUAGCAUGCUCCUAAGUGGGAUGUGACCUAGGGAAUUUGAGGUAGGAGGUAGGAUUUGGACUAGAGGUUGAACAAUGCCACAUGCAUCUGGGGGCUCAGGCUUAGGAGAGAAGAGAACUGUUAAAACUAAGUUGCCUGAGCAACAUUUGGGCCAGGGAUUUGGAAGAGAAGAUGAUAAUGGGUGGAUGAAGAGAUGGAGAUGGUCUGAAGUCCUCAAGAAAGACAGGAGUGUUCUGAGCUUGAUGGCAAAAGUAUACCAUGCUCUGGAGUGAAUUUAGGAAAACGGUUUUGAGCAAAGGUAGGAG